RNAcentral lists this long non-coding RNA (205 nucleotides) under Citrus x clementina. RNAcentral's name for it is "Citrus clementina (C. clementina) long non-coding RNA (CCLE_LNC005964)". Lineage: Eukaryota; Viridiplantae; Streptophyta; Magnoliopsida; Sapindales; Rutaceae. The record is from RNAcentral.
GGAAAAAUGGCCAAAAAACGGGUGGGCUAUAGCCUUGGUGGGGGGCGUGGGCGAAGUUCGUCCGCGGGACUCGGAAUGGCACCAGACUUGGCGGGCGGCAUCCGUGUGCCAAAAAUAGGCCACGGGCACAGGCGCGCCCAAAAAACAGCCCCCGAAGGUCGGGGUCCCAAGACCCCCCAGCCGAAAAAUGGCCAAAAAAGGGGUG